RNAcentral lists this ribosomal RNA (1323 nucleotides) under metagenome. RNAcentral's name for it is "bacterial LSU rRNA". It matches the Rfam family "Bacterial large subunit ribosomal RNA", at positions 1561 to 2925 of the family's 2925-position model. The record is from RNAcentral.
AGUGGAUGGGGAGCAACCUAGUUGUGCGUGUGUAAAGGUAGUGCCAAGAAAAGCGAUGAUCAUGUUGAAAAUCAAUUCCCGGUACCCGAAACCGACACAGGUGGGCAAGUAGAGAAUACUAAGGGGCGCGAGGUAACUCUCUCCAAGGAACUCGGCAAAAUGACCCCGUAACUUAGGGAGAAGGGGUGCCACCGAGAGGUGGUCGCAGUGAAGAGGCCCAGGCGACUGUUUAGCAAAAACAUAGGUCUCUGCAAACUCGAAAGAGGAGGUAUAGGGGCUGACGCCUGCCCAGUGCCGGAAGGUUAAAGAAGUUGGUCAGUCUUAGGAUGAAGCUAGCGACUGAAGCCCCGGUGAACGGCGGCCGUAACUAUAACGGUCCUAAGGUAGCGAAAUUCCUUGUCGGGUAAGUUCCGACCCGCACGAAAGGCGUAACGAUCUGGGCGCUGUCUCGGAGAGAGGCUCGGCGAAAUAGGAUUGUCUGUGAAGAUACGGACUACCUGCAUUUGGACAGAAAGACCCUAUGAAGCUUUACUAUAGCUUGGAAUUGUGUUCGGGCUUCCUGUGCGCAGGAUAGGUGGGAGGCGUAGAAGGUAUUCUUGUGGGGAUACUGGAGCCAACGGUGAGAUACCACUCUCAGGAGGCCAGAAUUCUAACUUAAUUAAGGACAGUUUCAGGUGGGUAGUUUGACUGGGGCGGUCGCCUCCAAAAAGGUAACGGAGGCGUACAAAGGUUCCCUCAGACUGGUUGGAAAUCAGUCGAAGAGCGCAAAGGCAGAAGGGAGCUUGACUGCGAGAAGUACAGUUCGAGCAGGGUGGAAACACGGUCUUAGUGAUCCGACGGUGCUGUGUGGAAGGGCCGUCGCUCAACGGAUAAAAGUUACUCUAGGAUAACAGGCUGAUCUCCCCCAAGAGUUCACAUCGACGGGGAGGUUUGGCACCUCGAUGUCGGCUCAUCGCAACCUGGGGCGGAAGUACGUCCCAAGGGUUGGGCUGUUCGCCCAUUAAAGCGGUACGUGAGCUGGGUUCAGAACGUCGUGAGACAGUUCGGUCCAUAUCCGAUGUAGGCGUGAGAAUAUUGAGAGGAGCCUUCCUUAGUACGAGAGGACCGGGAAGGACGCACCGCUGGUGUACCUGUUAUGAUGCCAAUUGUAAACGCAGGGUAGCCAAGUGCGGAGAGGAUAACCGCUGAAAGCAUCUAAGUGGGAAGCCCACCUCAAGAUGAGUAUUCUGGUGUAAGGUCACGGGAAGACGACCCGUAAAUAGGCACGAGGUGGAAGUGCAGAGAUGUAUGAAGCCGAAGUGUACUAAUAGACCGUCGGCUUGA